Molecule: long non-coding RNA, 8331 nt
Organism: Falco peregrinus (peregrine falcon)
Lineage: Eukaryota; Metazoa; Chordata; Aves; Falconiformes; Falconidae
Exons: 3
Source: RefSeq, a predicted model, not a curated record
UUAAGGGGAAAGUCACUCCAAACUCCAGUUGCAUGACAAAAUAAAAUUAUAUGCAUGGACUAGGCCUGAAAGCUCACUUUCAUUCAUGACAGGCUCUGUCACAAAUCCUUUUAUCAGUACUCCCACUGGAAAUAUAUAUUGGGAUGCUGCAUGUCCUCUACUGCUAUUUUCAUGACAACUACAUAAUUACUACAACACUCUGCAAAACUUUACAACCUGUAGGAGUUUUGAGUAAACUUCCAUCAGUUUGUUAAAUCCAAUUUUCUAAACAUCUAUCACUAAAAUUCAACAUACAAAUGAACUUAUUUACUUGCCAAGAGAUUCAGUAUUGAAUUUCCUGAGUUUUCUUUAGGUGUUCUCUAGCCUUGAACAGACGGUAAAUGUUGACAACAAAAAGCAUCAACUUUGGAGAUGGGAAGAAGGAACUCUGCCAAAAGCAACAAGCAUGGGAAAACACAAAGCCUUCUGCUAGGAAGGAAACCCUGCUACUAGGAUUGUCUACAGCCCUUUCAAUCUAAAACUGAAAUUUACUGUUCCACAACUAAGCAGUUCUUUUAAAUGUUUCUUUUUAUGGCUUAAUAUGGGACCAGAAGCAGGUGCCAUGGGACUUAAGUCACCAUUUGUAGUAAUCCAGUAGUGAAAAGCAAAAUGACAACCACAUUGCAGAGAGACCCGAAGUCAGGUAAGAGUCCGAUGCAAUUGUUGGGUUUUUUUAGCUUCCUCUGGUGCUGCUCUCUCAGGUUGCUUUUUUUUUUUUUUUUCCUAGAACAAUACAGCAAACAACAUUAAUAUUGAGGAAGCUGGCUUCAUGACUGAACUGAAACGGAUUCUUUUCCAAAAGCAGAAUUUCAGGUGGCUGCUACCACUCCCUGGAGCUCCGAUCUGUAGCUCUCCUGCCUUCCACUCCACUCUUACCAGGGUCUUUGGAGCUCUUCACAGCCCAGAUCCUCCAGUUCCCCUUACACCCUGCCACCACUCUAGCUCCCUUUGCUUAGUUCAUGCAUCGUUUGUUUUAGCGUUCUUUACUUUUCCUGCUGGGAUCCUAAUAACCCCUCCUGCAUCCACCGCAGAUACCCAUUCUGAGUACACUCCUUCCCGUGACGCUUCACAGUACUGACACAGAAGGUUUGUAUUCAUCAGGCCUUCAGUGAAGUGUCUGGAGCACAGUGUUUGGAUACACCUGCUCACACCAGGAAUCAAAAUACUCAUUCUGCUGAAGACUAGUGGAAUUUUCCCAUGCAAUGCAACGAAGCCGACAUUUCUCCCUGCUGCUCCCAGCAUUACCCCCUGUACUGCUUAGUCCUCUAUUCCACCGGCACUGCAGACCACCCUGUACGUGCUCUGCGACAACAAAUACUGUCAAUACUAAAGCAAAGAAGUUCUCAAAAGGGAGCGAUCUGGUAACAGGGACAUGUAUUCUUUGGAUUUCAGGCUUUUAGGCAAACUGGCUUCAAUUCACUGACUGGUCAGCUGUACCUCCAAAGGAAGUACAGGAUGGAGUGUUGGCAAGUGCGACGCAGACUGUCAAGCACAGCAACACUGUGUAUUUGUCGCUGGUCGGCUCCUGCGUGAACAAUGAUUCAACUGUUCCCUGCCACUUUUUCCACGCUGGAGCAGAGUAUGCAGUAGAAGGUUACAGAAGGUGUUUGGUUUUUUUUUCUGAAGGUGACAAUGCUUUUACCCUCGUAGCUAACCAGGCUCCUACGGAAUAAUACUGCACGCUGGUGUGACUCGAGGAAUCCUGUGAAUGUCAGCAGUGUUGAUAAACAGUAAUCAGGCUGUUGAUUUAGUAGUAUCAAGCGCUGAAUACCUCAGAGGUAUGUUAAUACAAGGCGGUGCUGAUCAGCAGAUAGCAAAACUGAUAAACACUGUGGUUAGCAGACACAGUACAGGCACUGCUGGUACCAUUGCAUUUACUUCUAUUUGUAUAGCUUGUGUUGCUGAGAGCAAAGAGCCUGGCUCUCUCGCCAUACAUCAUGAGCUAUAAAACCACAAGAGAACCCUCAGAAUCAAAGCAAUACAGAGAUACCAAACAAAAACGUACCAGGCUUUGAUAAAGUUAACCUUGAGUUGUUUUAGAGAAGCAGUAUGGAAACUGAUUCAGACUACUUAUACUAAGCUUAACAGUGAAGUUAUUUGGUUCCUUUCCUAAGAAGGACGCAAGAGCUCCAGCAGUUCUUUAAAUAGAACUCUUCCUGCGACAUACAUAAAAAAUGAACAUAGGUGGAAGAAGCAGUUUCAGCAACACCAGAACCAAAGAGGCUUUUAGAGCAUUUGUUUUUCUUCUGUUUUCCAAGAUUUUCCUUAGCAUGUAAUAAGGUACAGAAUCAUAGAAUAGUCUAUGUUGGGAGGGACCUUUAAAAGGUCACCUAGUCCAACCCCGCUGCGUUAGGCAGGGCCAUCUUCAGCUGGGUCAGGUUCAACCCUGAACUUGAAUGUUUCCAGGGAUGCUGCACCUACCACCUCUCUGGGCAACCUGUUCCCAUGUUUGAACACCUUUGUGGUAAAAGAUGUCUUCUUUAUAUCGAGUCUAAACCUACCCUCUUUUAGUUUAAAACCAUUACCCCUUGUCCUGUUGCAACAGGUCCUGCUAGAAGGUUUGUCCCCAUCUAAGUACUGAAAGGCUGCAAUAAAGUGUCCCUGGAGCCUUCUCCAGGCUGAACAACUCGAAUUCUCUCAGCCUGUCCUCACAGGAGAGAGGUGUUCCAUCCUUCUGAUAAUUUUCAGGGCUCCUUCUGCAACUAUUUGCACAGGUAAGACAUCCUGCCCACUCCUUUAACACCUAUAUGUGAACCUGCAGGAACGGUUUUGCCUUUUGAGGCUCCUGCUGUCUGUCAAAUUUGGUCACGGGCAAGCAACAGGUUCAAAAGUUGUCUGGGAAACGUACGCAAACAGCACGAUCUCACAGGCCUUUUGACUCCUUUCAUUAAUUCUUUUUAACUACAAGGUCACUAGAGACUUCAGCAAGGAGUCUACAAGACUUAAGAGAUUCCAAGUCUCUGUGUACCACUGGGCAAUUUUUAUUACAAAAAAUACCUCUUCAUUGCCUUCCUCACCUCUGCUUCCUUACUGCAUCAUCUGCUGACUCUCCCCUGUGUUGAACGGUACCACUACCACAAGCAGGUAUUUUUAGUAGUCUUUAAUGAAAUGUACUAGUUAGGAAUAAUAGCAAAUGAAGAUGAUGCAACCAUCCAGCUCUCAGUAUGGAAAUCUCUACAGUGGGUAACAUGCACUCUAAGGUAAUAAAACCAGUCACUAUUCCAUUUAGCAGCAAUAUUACUGGGGGGCAUUUAUAUAGUAAACUGGCCUUUUUUACAUACCUUGUGUUGGGGGUCCAUUUCAUUCAGAUAAGCAACUGGUAACUGUAGAUCAGCCACAGUUACACACACACACACACAACGUCAUUCUGUCCUCAUUUUAUCCUUCCUUUUUCUAAAGCCCACUUGUGGUAAUCCUGAAGGAACGGCCAAAUCAAGUGAUACAAACGUCUAACCUCACUUAGAGCAGUUCUCAGUGGGGUUCUUCCACAAAAAAACAAUAAUGCAUCUUUAAAAAAGUUCCGCAACAUGCACAAAGCAGCCCUUUGUAUUUAGGAAUUUCAAGGUAUUGAUUAUGGAACAUGUCCCUCUUAGCAGGCCGUUUAGGGAGCGUACCAGUUUCACAGGUGAGGAUGCUGGAACAGAAAAGUUAACAGACUAGCCCAAAUUCAAGUGACAAAUCAGUGCCUGAUGCAGGCCAGGGCCAAGCGUAACUGAAGUGCCUGGCCAUCCCCUGAACAGCCAACAGAAACCGGUCACUCUCUGCUGAAAACUUUUGCCUCAACAUUUCCAUAGCCUGGAGUUUGAUGCUGUAAUUCUGCUGUAAACUUUCUGCCACCUUUAGUGCGUAUUCACAUGCUCUGGGCACAUCUCAGUCCAGUCUCUCAAAUACGUCGGGGUAUAUGGGGAAGCUCCAAGUCUCAUUUCCUUUUGUAAACGUUGGCCUCGUGUUUUUCCCUCGGUCGUAACUAUACAGUCCAGUACUCUGCACAUACUUCAUCGCUGUCUCUGUAUCUGUCCUGGAAGUGAUCCCAAAGUGCCUCAGUGCAGCUACACAGGACAUAUUCCCAGAGACAGCGGGCAGUCACACGAACACGAACUGCACCGUUCCCUGCGGGAACCCUUGGGUGCAGAUAAAAGCCUAAACCACAGGAGUAAUUUUGAGACGCCCACUUCCAAUAUGCAGCAGAGAGAGUAUGAAAUAGAAUAUUCCUGCCCUUCUCUGGAAAGUUCAAAAUACCUGCGGGAUGGGAUUUGCAAGGUCAUUAUAAAGGGCUAACAGUAACAGCAAUGUGUUAAGGUCAGUAGAAAAUCGACACGCCAAUUCCUCUGCAACAAAAACACUGCAAAGAUUCAUGUCCUUAACGUUCCAUGAAUAGGAUCUGCUUACAGUAGUGCAACCCGUGGAGCUCGCCAGUGUCACUCACAGUUGUAGGACUCAUCCUUUUCACUUCUCAUCUCAAACUAACCAUACCCAUUAUUUGCAUUCACACAAGGUACAUGUCUAAUAUCCUUCUCUUCUUCCUCCCCAAAACUCUUUUGUGCCGAACAAGUAAAUCUCUGUUCUUGGAAAGCUGAUUUGGUCAUUAGAUAGCCUUGUUAUCUUUCCUUGGAGACUAGGCCUCCAGGGCUUAUCUGACAUCAGAUGGGCUGAAGUGAUCCUGGUGACAAACAAGGAGCUACAGCCCGUGGCUUCAGAUUGGAAGAAACAAUUAAUAAGAACAUGCUGAAGAAAGAUGAUGAUCAGAGCCUUCGGAGUUGAGCAAACUGCUUGAAAGCACAAGAGAUCAAGAUACUUUUGCAGUUCAUCCAUUUCAGAAAUGCCAGAGGAAAUUCAAGGUUAACAGGUUAAAACAGCUGCUUCGGCAAGUUGAAAAGUGAACGUGACGUAAUGGAGGUUUUGAGCCUACACUUCUGUUUGUUUAGAAGAAUCUCUGACAAAAUCCGUAAGUAAAAUGAUUAAUCAUCUCUUCUGAGCUAGUCAGGUAACCUCAGUAACCCAAAAAGGAUCAUCUUGCCCAAUACAAUGCCAAAGCAGAAUACCUGGCCUUGUUAAGUUGUGGUUGUUUUGUCUUUAAUAAAAUACCAUUCACAGGCUUUAUAGGUGCUUGCAACGUUUUUAUUUGAGCUUUUCUGCUUUCUUCAUGAUAUGCAGAGAGGACCUGAGCAGCUCCCAUUAAGCACAAUGUAAAACCUGAAAACACAUGUCCAGUGAAACUUCCCCCAUGGUGUACUUCUGCUUCAUUGUUACUACAGAUAAGGACAAAGAAAUAAGUUGUUCAGGAAGAGGGGGGCACAGACCCACCCACCACCCACGAGGAUUUUUGCAAAUAUUCAGACAAACGUGAAAAAGAAAGUAUUUGUUGUCAGACUGUAUAAACCUGACCACUUCAUUGACCUUCCAUUCUUACACAUGGAGAGUUCUCCACUGCCACCUGGGUCACUAGACUGCACUGUCAUUAAGUGCUCCAGACAGUAUCAUCUUGAUAAUCCAAACGACUUCUGAAUUAUAUUUUCACUUGUAUGAUUUAAAUAAACAAAUGCAAGCCUUAAUACACCAUCUUCUUAAUACGCUUAGUAAAACAAGCUUAUUUCAAAGACGUUUUAUAGGGGGAUCAUUUAGGAGAAAGGUCUACAUCCCAUUACCGAGGCAACUUAAUUUUUGUUUCACUUGCGGUGGGAUUGAAAUGAUUUCACGCGCUGCUGCUACUGCCUCCCAAGCACAUUCUGCGAGCACAAAGGUGCCUUCCUGAACCACCUGAAGUGGCAGCCUAGAGACCUCAGUUGCAGUAUACGCAUUUCAGCAUCCCUCAAAAGGCAUUUUUGAGCAAAGCACAUUAGACCUGAUCUCUGGAACCUGCGGAUCUUAAAACUAUCCUCAGAUCUUCUAACCUACCUAAGCCUUAACCUGCUUUCAGCUGGUUUAACUUGGCAAUGCAGAAGAACAAACAAAAGCCUGGCAGUAAGGGGAGAACAUAAUAUUUGCAAGCUAAAUAUCAUUCAGUCACAAAGUGACUGACAAAUCAUACAAUAAAGGUGAAGUCAGAUAUCAAAGGCACAAACUAAACUACACUGAAUGCAAGCCAGCUCUUUAAACUGUUAAUCCAUCAUUUGUUAGCAAUGCAGCAAACAAGUUAAUUAAUCCAAGCUGUCAUUUGCUUUUACGGCUUUAGCCUGUCAGGACUUUAUAUUUCAAGCUUCCAAACCACCCUGGCCUUAAAUAUUCCACCAAUCUAGCAGUCUGCACAGAAGAGGUCAUUUAUUCUGAAACACACUGCUUUCCUGGAGAAGUAAAACAUACCACAGCCUAUCUAAAUAGGUGAUGGUAUGUGCAAGGAUGCUGUUUGUGCAUUAACUAGCUUGCAAAUAGGAAAGGCUGGGAUACAGGCAGCGUGCCAGCCCCCAGGUUACAGAAACCACUUCGAGACAGCUGAAACUUGCUGGAGACGUUCUGCCACAACUGCUAGAAUCUGGACACUGUUUGAAUAUGUGCGUCUAUACAUCUCUGGAGCUAAGGACCACAACCCGCAGUUUUUAUUGCGGAUACGUAGAGGAAAGCAUCCUGUUGUACCUUGCAAGACUGAAAUAGCAAAGCUACCCGUGCUUUCAUAAACGUAUCCUUUGACAAAUCUUAGCCUCGUGUCACGCUUUCUGGUUAGAUGUUUCUACGAGAGGGGUUUUUUCAUUUUUCUAUAAUAAAAUAGAAACCAGAAGUUAUCUUAGAUUCAGCUGGAUCCCCAGCAGAAAGCAGCAGGACCUUUGUCACAAGGCAGCCUCCCAUCCAGCCUUUUCAGUAGUCCAAAGUGCACUCGUUUAGUGGGCAACUGAAAGACUAAGAUGGUAUUUACCUCAUAUGACUCCAGAGACACUGGCUGCCAAACCCAGUGGUUAAUGCUUUCCAUUUAAAAUACGGCCCUUUUUUCAGGUGGGUAUCUGUACGCGUUUUAAAAUUUGGUACGUUAAGGCUCUGUUCAAGAGGCACGUACACACCGAAGCGAGUACAGCGAAGGAUAAUGAAGAUGAUUAAGGGACUGGAGUGCUUGUACAAGGGGAGGCUGAGAGUGCUGCAGGUGUUCAGCCUGGGGAAGACAAGCUGCAGAGGGGAAUCUUACGUGUGUAAAUACUCGACAGGAGGAAGAUCACAAGGCCAGACUCUUCUCAGCAAAAGCACCCAGCAAAAGGGUAAAAAAAAGCGGGAACUAACUGAAACACAGGAAAUUCAAUUUAAACCUAAGAAAAAGGGGUUUUUUUCUGGGCAGGUGGUCAAAUGCUAGAACAGGGUGGCUAGAGAUUGUAGUUUCCAUCCACGGUCCUGAGCAACCUGCUCUGGUUGACCCUGCUUUGAGCUGCAGAGCUGGACUAGACAUUCUCUACAAAACCUUUCCAACCCCAACGCUUCAGCAACCCAGUUCAGUGUAAGGCAGUGAAGACAUGGCUCAUCCAGUUCAAAUUUAGUAACAAGCAAAUAAUCCCUUAUUAGGGGACACACUGUAUUUCUAGUUUUAUGAAUGCCUAUUAACAGAAGCAGUAAUAAUCAGAGUUUCAGCUAAAGAAAUGUAUAUUAAACAUUAGAAAGAAUAUUUAUAGUUAAAAAAACACACAUCCUGAAUAGCUUUAUCUAGGUUACUGAAUCUCUCCAAGGAGAUUUCCAAGAAUGGUGUGGCUGAUCCUGCCAGGUGUGGGACACAGCAGAUAGCUGCUCAAGCCCAUUCCAGUCCAGCUUUUUGGAUCUCUGCUAAAAACAUGUAUGAUAUUGUCCAGGACAAACUGCUAGGUAAAACUAGGCUCUUACAGGUACAGACAUACUUAAAUACUAAUACUCUAAGAAAUCAAAGAGAUGUCUGAAUGUCUCCUUCAUGUAGGAGCGUUUCUGGAGACACUUCCACUUAGAAGAGGCACAAGACACUGAGAAGCUGACGUUGAAAGCACAGAGCAUUUUACAAUCAAAGACGUCUCCUUAAGGCUUAGUGUUUAUUCUGAAAGUACUCUAGAAAACUUGUAAGACUGUCUUUCUGUAUAGUCUGAGCUAAGGACAAAAGAACACUACUUUGGCUCCCCAAUGAGUAGAACAAAAUCCAGUACAGAAUUAAGGUCACUUUGGUUAAACUGUGCAUCAGUUACUGCAUGUUUCCAAGAGAAGCACUCAGAAAAGUAUCAAUAAAAUUGUAAUAGCAUUGUUACAUCUUUAUUUGCACAACUAUAGCACACUUUGCAUUACUAGUUACUAUAUAUAUUUAAUGGAGGAGUGUUUUCACAUCUAGCUGCUGUUUUGCUUAAGAAAUGUUCUUCCAAA